GACGAACGCUGGCGGCGUGCUUAACACAUGCAAGUCGAACGAUGAUGCCCAGCUUGCUGGGUGGAUUAGUGGCGAACGGGUGAGUAACACGUGAGUAACCUGCCCCUGACUCUGGGAUAAGCGUUGGAAACGACGUCUAAUACUGGAUAUGACUGCCGGCCGCAUGGUCUGGUGGUGGAAAGAUUUUUUGGUUGGGGAUGGACUCGCGGCCUAUCAGCUUGUUGGUGAGGUAAUGGCUCACGAAGGCGACGACGGGUAGCCGGCCUGGGAGGGUGACCGGACACACUGGGACUGAGACACGGCCCAGACUCCUACGGGAGGCAGCAGUGGGGAAUAUUGCACAAUGGGCGGAAGCCUGAUGCAGCAACGCCGCGUGAGGGAUGACGGCCUUCGGGUUGUAAACCUCUUUUAGUAGGGAAGAAGCGUAAGUGACGGUACCUGCAGAAAAAGCACCGGCUAACUACGUGCCAGCAGCCGCCGUAA
RNAcentral lists this ribosomal RNA (483 nucleotides) under uncultured bacterium. RNAcentral describes it as "partial 16S ribosomal RNA". It matches the Rfam family "Bacterial small subunit ribosomal RNA", at positions 28 to 523 of the family's 1533-position model. The record is from RNAcentral.